CUUUUUUAAAAGGAUAGUUGCCUGUCAACUGAGUAGUAAUGAGUACACCCAGAGCCAGGGACCAGGCAUCCUCAGAGAAACACAUAUUCCAGGGCUGAGUAAUAAGUGGGUACAGGAUGAGCCUGGGACAUCUUAAAUGUCAGAAAUGACAAAAGGACUGCAAAAAAAAAACGUGAAAACACAGGAAGGAACUGAAGGGGCUCCCACUGUCCAGAUCUGGGAGGAUUUGAGGAAGCAUGAGCACUGGACUGGAAAAAUAUCCUUUGGCAAUCAUCAUGGUAAAGGCUGAAGCAGGGGCUGGGAUGAGGCUCAGCAGUCGAGUGAGUGCUUGAUUACCAUGCAUGAAACUAAGAAUCCCAAGCAAGGCACACACACACAAAAGAAAUAGAUUGCCAGCACUGUUUGCCAAACAUGGGGAGAAGUCUGGUGAGGAGCAGGAUAUUUAUAUUUAACCACGUCUCCAGAGACUGUCUAUUAGUUGGAAGGGGGGAAAUAUAAACUAUAACAUGGAGAAGGUGAACAGUGCCUUGACCCAGUAUACCAGGCAUUACCUUAUUGUGUCUUAGCUCACUUACCUUUUGUUGUCACACAGACGCUGAGACUUUGUAAUCUACACUUCUCCUUUGCCACCUGGUCAACAGGAAGCACUGAAGGGAUGGCGAAGCUGGAGGGAGAUGGAAGACUUUUUCUUUGUUAUCUCUGGUUUGGCAUGAGUCCCAGCAGCAUUCUCCAUAGUGAUGGUUCUCUGCUCCCAUGGUUCAGUGGUGGCACCUCCAGUGAGGAGGGCAGUGUGUCUGUGGCAGCUGCUCCUCAGAGAUCUCAGCCUUGGGAGAACUUCUGAGUUUCUAGUUUCCCUCAUCAUCUUCCUUUCCCUCAGUUCUAGGGGUGGUUAUAAUAGCCUAGAUAUUUUCUGCUAGGCUGUUUUCAAGCUCUUUUUGAAAUUCCUUUUAGUAAAUCACCUUUUACAUAAACAUUUAUAUUAAAAAUUCCUGUUCAUAUUUAGACCAGGUGAUCAAAAUUAACAUCACUGAGGAGGAAGGGGAGUGAGGCAGACAGACACUGGGGCCUCCCAAGAGGAAGACACAGGCAGUGUUUCAGCCACCUGGAACACAAAACCUAAUCUAACUGUUCAAAAGAAGGGAGUGUAUUCUUCCAGAAUGUCAUUGUCACAAGAGAAAAACCUAUGGAAAUGCUUCAGAUUCAAGGAAAACAAAAAGACAUAUAACUAAACACAGUAUCCAAUCCUAGACUAGGUUCAGAACUGCAGGGGGGGAAAUUCUCUCAGGGACAUCAUGAGGUCAACUAAAUAUGAAUGGGAGAUUAUUUAUCAGUGUUAAAUGUCCUGAAUUUAGUAACUGUUUUGUGAUUUUCAGAGAUUAUCUUUAUUCUUAGGAAAUUCCCACUGAACUACCAGGGUAAUAGGCCACCAUCUAUGCAAAGAGAGAGAGAGCAAGCACAUUUAAGAACACAAAUGACAAAUGGGACAAAAUGUCUCAAGUAUAUUUGGGUAAAGGGUAUUUAGGCCUUAUAUAAACAAUCCUUACUCUUGCAACUUUUCCUUGAGUUCCAAAUAAAACUUAAGGAAAUAGAAUACAACAGUGGUUCUUAAUCACAGCUGCAACCUGGAAUGACCAGUUGGUCAGCAGCUUGGAACCCAAGUCCUAAUUUUCAAGUUUCCCAGGUUCCCACCUUAUAGUUGCCUGCAGUUCUCAUCUGUGUCUGUAGGUCAACAGAAGGAAAAACACAGAUAUACAGAACAGGUGAGAACACUGGCACUACAGGAGACUCUAUUCUUUAAACUUCAGACAUGAGUAGUUCUUUUGCCCUCUGAAGAGUAAGCACCAUGGAACAGGGUCUCAAGGUCUUGAUGGCAGAAUACUCUCCAGACAUCAAGCAGGCAGAUGAAUCUGUAAGGCACUGGCCAACGUGGACAGAUUUCCCCUCUAGUGGUUCCCAAACAAGGUAAAAAGGCUUACUUCCAGGACAACAAUGCCAGGAAUUAAACACCGUUUAAAGCUGGCAGGAGCUACAAUGGUGUAACUGGCCCCAGAAGCACCCACCCCCACUCCCAUCUUUUUGGCUUUACUACCAAUGUGGCUGAUCUGGGUCUAAUUGGCAGAGCACACAGGAGGAAGCUGCUUUCUCAGCAGGUAAGCAGCAGGAAGUGAGCAAAGGGAGAAUAGGUGGGGCUACCUGGCUUUGUCCCAAAGCAAUUUUCAUAGAGUUCAGUUCUGUAGUACAAAAUGAGGGCAUCCAAAGUUACUUGGGACUCAUGCUAGAUUCCUCUCUUCCUUUCCCUUCUCUCUGUCCCACAUCCAAUCAAUGCAUAUUUUGCCAUUUCUUCCCCCCCCCCCUCUACUGCCUCAGUCCAUCCCCCACCACCUUCACCCACAGUACCUUACUUCACACUCUUAAACUAUCUUCUGAACUAUUACAUCUACCUAACCAUAGCCUGAUCACAUUCCCUUCAAUCUACCCUUUAAACUGCAGCCAUGGGGACCAUCUAGG
This 2508-nucleotide long non-coding RNA is filed under the name Marmota monax (woodchuck). Lineage: Eukaryota; Metazoa; Chordata; Mammalia; Rodentia; Sciuridae. The record is from RNAcentral.